RNAcentral lists this ribosomal RNA (1538 nucleotides) under Saccharum hybrid cultivar. Its description in RNAcentral is "bacterial LSU rRNA". It matches the Rfam family "Bacterial large subunit ribosomal RNA", at positions 1027 to 2423 of the family's 2925-position model. The record is from RNAcentral. Lineage: Eukaryota; Viridiplantae; Streptophyta; Magnoliopsida; Poales; Poaceae.
CCAGACUACCAACUAAGGCCCCUAAGCGUGUGCUAAGUGGGAAAGGAUGUGGAGUUGCACAGACAACCAGGAGGUUGGCUUAGAAGCAGCCACCCUUGAAAGAGUGCGUAAUAGCUCACUGGUCAAGUGAUUCCGCGCCGACAAUGUAACGGGGCUCAAGCACGCCACCGAAGUUGUGGCAUUGACAUUAUUGGUAGGCCUUCGUGGUCCAGCCGUGUUGAUGGGUAGGAGAGCGUCGUGUGGCCAGCGAAGCGGCGGUGUGAACCAGCCGUGGAGGCUACACGAGUGAGAAUGCAGGCAUGAGUAGCGAAAGACAUGUGAGAAACAUGUCCUCCGAAAGACCAAGGGUUCCAGGGUCAAGCUAAUCUUCCCUGGGUAAGUCGGGACCUAAGGCGAGGCCGACAGGCGUAGUCGAUGGACAACGGGUUGAUAUUCCCGUACCGGCGAAGAACCGCCCAAGCUAAUCCAGUAGUGCUAAGAGUCCUAAUCCGGCAGAUGGAUCCCUUCGGGGUGAAGCAGCCGGCCUAACGCUCGACCCCAUGCUGGUGCGGCUAGCGUAUUAACAGGUGUGACGCAGGAAGGUAGCUGAGCCAGGCGAUGGUUGUCCUGGUGUAAGGACGUAGGGCGAGAGAUAGGCAAAUCCGUCUCUCACAUAGCCUGAGAUCCGAUGCGUACCCCUCACGGGGGAAAUCAGUGAUCCUAUGCUGCCGAGAAAAGCAUCGACGCGAGGUUCAAGCCGCCCGUACCCCAAACCGACUCAGGUGGUCAGGUAGAGAAUACCAAGGAGAUCGAGAGAAUCGUGGUUAAGGAACUCGGCAAAAUGCCCCCGUAACUUCGGGAGAAGGGGGGCCACCCGCUUAUACGGACUUGCUCCGGAAAGGGUGUGGUGGCCGCAGAGACUAGUGGGUAGCGACUGUUUACUAAAAACACAGGUCCGUGCUAAGACGCAAGUCGACGUAUACGGACUGACGCCUGCCCGGUGCUGGAAGGUUAAGAGGACCGGUUAGCCGCAAGGCGAAGCUGAGAAUUUAAGCCCCAGUAAACGGCGGUGGUAACUAUAACCAUCCUAAGGUAGCGAAAUUCCUUGUCGGGUAAGUUCCGACCUGCACGAAUGGCGUAACGACUUCCCAGCUGUCUCAACCGCGAACUCGGCGAAAUUGCACUACGAGUAAAGAUGCUCGUUACGCGCAGCAGGACGGAAAGACCCCGUGACCUUUACUACAGUUUGGUAUUGGUGUUCGGAGUGGCUUGUGUAGGAUAGGUGGGAGACUGUGAAGCGGGCACGCUAGUGUUCGUGGAGUCAUUGUUGAAAUACCACUCUGGUCACUUUGGAUGUCUAACGUAGGACCCUGAUCGGGUUCAUGGACAGUGCCUGAUGGGUAGUUUAACUGGGGCGGUUGCCUCCUUAAAUGUAACGGAGGCGCCCAAAGGUUCCCUCAGCCUGGUUGGCAAUCAGGUUUUGAGUGUAAGUGCACAAGGGAGCUUGACUGUGAGAGUGACAGCUCGAGCAGGGACGAAAGUCGGGACUAGUGAUCCGG